CAGGUAGAGGAAUGUCUGCGACUAAGCCGAGGGCCACUUGAUAAGGGUUGUUGAUGGCAAAACAGGUAGAGGAAUGUCUGCGACUAAGCCGAGGGCCACUUGAUAAGGGUUGUUGAUGGCAAAACAGGUAGAGGAAUGUCUGCGACUAAGCCGAGGGCCACUUGAUAAGGGUUGUUGAUGGCAAAACAGGUAGAGGAAUGUCUGCGACUAAGCCGAGGGCCACUUGAUAAGGGUUGUUGAUGGCAAAACAGGUAGAGGAAUGUCUGCGACUAAGCCGAGGGCCACUUGAUAAGGGUUGUUGAUGGCAAAACAGGUA
Molecule: long non-coding RNA, 316 nt
Organism: Dreissena polymorpha
Lineage: Eukaryota; Metazoa; Mollusca; Bivalvia; Myida; Dreissenidae
Exons: 5
Source: RefSeq, a predicted model, not a curated record